This 408-nucleotide ribosomal RNA is filed under the name Chaetoceros sp. Va7D2. Its description in RNAcentral is "SSU rRNA". It matches the Rfam family "Eukaryotic small subunit ribosomal RNA", at positions 576 to 990 of the family's 1831-position model. The record is from RNAcentral. Lineage: Eukaryota; Bacillariophyta; Thalassiosirophyceae; Chaetocerotales; Chaetocerotaceae.
GCGGUAAUUCCAGCUCCAAUAGCGUAUAUUUUAGUUGUUGCAGUUAAAAAGCUCGUAGUCGUAUUUCUGACAGGAAAGUGCGGUCCGACUUAUGUGGGUACUUGCACUCUCCGGUCAUCAUUGGGUUGAGCCAGUUUGGCAUUAAGUUGUCGAGCUGGGGACGCCCAUCGUUUACUGUGAAAAAAUUAGAGUGUUCAAAGCAGACUUAUGUCGUUGAAUAUAUUAGCAUGGAAUAAUAAAAUAGGACAUCAGUGCUAUUUUGUUGGUUUGCGCACCGAUGUAAUGAUAAAUAGGAACAGUUGUGGGUAUUCGUAUUCACUUGUAAGAGGUGAAAUUCUUAGAUUAAGGGAAGACGAACUACUGCGAAAGCAUUUACCAAGGAUGUUUUCAUCAAUCAAGAACGAAAGU